This 254-nucleotide ribosomal RNA is filed under the name uncultured bacterium. RNAcentral's name for it is "partial 16S ribosomal RNA". It matches the Rfam family "Bacterial small subunit ribosomal RNA", at positions 524 to 776 of the family's 1533-position model. The record is from RNAcentral.
UACGUAGGGGGCAAGCGUUGUCCGGAUUUAUUGGGCGUAAAGAGCUCGUAGGCGGUUUGGUAAGUCAGGUGUGAAAUCUCCACGCUCAACGUGGAGGGGCCACCUGAUACUGCCAUGACUGGAGUCCGGUAGAGGAGUGUGGAAUUCCCGGUGUAGCGGUGAAAUGCGCAGAUAUCGGGAGGAACACCCGUAGCGAAGGCGGUUGCCUGGAGCUUUGCUGACGCUGAUGCGCGAAAGCGUGGGGAGCGAUCCGG